AUGACUCCAACUAAGCAACACCACCUCCAUGUCCUCCUGCUCCUCCUCAUAUGCUCCUCCUCCAUAGUUGUUGCAGCCAAGCAUAACACCGCUGUCCUUUGCCACCCUGAUCAAGCUUCUUCCCUGCUCCAGCUAAAGCAAUCCUUCAUCGACGUCGAUGCAAAGUUGGCUUCAUGGCGAGCUGGAAGUGACUGCUGCCAUUGGGAGGGCGUCACCUGUGACAGGGACUCUGGGAGAGUCAUUUCCCUAGACCUUGGUGGGUUUAACUUGAUGAGCCGUCAUCUUCACCCUGCAAUCUUCAACCUCACAUCUCUGAGGAACCUCAGCCUUGCACACAAUGACUUCGGCACUGCCACCCUCCCAACUCACGGGUUCGAGCAGCUCCCAAAUAUCAUUCAUCUCAACUUCUCCUCUACCAGUUUUUUCGGCCAGUUUCCUGUUGGAAUUGCCCGCCUCAAGAACCUUGCCACUCUUGAUUUUUCUGAUAAUUUUGACUUAUAUCUACAAGAGCCAAACUUCCAGACCUUCAUGGCAAAUCUAAGCUAUCUGAGGGAGCUCCGGCUUGAUGCAGUAGACAUCUCCACCAGCGGAUCAAAUUGGUCCAUUGUUCUGGCGGACUCUGUUCCUCAGCUGCAAAUUCUUAGCUUGUUUCUGUGCGGUAUGUCUGGCCCUAUCCAUCAUUCUUUCUCGAGGCUUCGUUCCCUAACGAUUAUCAAUCUCAGAAACAAUGAGAGGCUCACUGGCAAAGUUCCUGAAUUCUUUGUUGAAUUUUCUUCCUUGAGAAUUCUUGAUAUAUCAGGAUGUUCUUUUAGAGGGCAAUUUCCAACAAAAAUUAUCCUGAUGAAAAGUUUGAGGGUGAUAGAUUUAUCUGAGAGCCCUAAACUUUCUGUGUGCUUACCAGAUUUCCCAGUUGGAAAUAACCUGGAGGUGUUAAAUCUAGCAGGGACCACUUUGUCUUGUGAUAUACGGUCGUCUCUUACAAAUCUCAAGUCUUUGAAGAAUUUGGGUCUAAGCACUUCAGAAGUUUCCAUGGAGCUCUCUUUGAUAAUUGGCAGUCUUGCGAAUUUGACAGUAUUGGACCUCUCAGAUUGCAACUUCUCUGGUUCAAUUCCCUCAACAGUUGGGAACUUGGUCCAACUUGAAGAUUUGAAUCUUGGGGGCUGCAACCUUUCUGGUCAAAUCCCAAAAUCUUUGUUUGCUCUUCCAGCACUGAAAUCACUUACUCUAAGUUCAAACCAACUUUCCGGUGCUCUGGAAGACAUUCCUGCCCCACUGUAUUCACCCUUGCGUUAUAUUCACUUAGACCAAAAUGAGCUCACGGGUGCAAUACCCAAAUCAUUCUUUCAUCUUAAUCACCUCAAAUAUCUCCAUCUUGACUCAAAUAGAUUCACAAGCACAAUUACACUUAGCUCUUUUUGGAGGUUGAAGAGCCUUAGUUCGCUGCGUUUGUCUAACAACUUGUUAUCAAUUGUGGACGAAGAAGACAACAUAGUAACCUCUCUCCCAAACAUCAACGACUUAGAACUUGCAUCUUGCAACCUCACCAAAAUUCCUCGAGCACUGACAUAUCUAGAUAGAGUUGAAUAUCUCGACCUUUCGAAUAAUCAAAUUCAUGGGUUUAUACCAAGUUGGGUAUGGGAGAAUUGGAAGGACCAGCUUCAAAUAUUGAACCUCUCUCAUAACAUGUUUACUAGUUUGGAGAGAUCUCCUUUUCUUGUUGAUAUGCCAUAUUUAUUCACCCUCGAUCUUAGUUAUAAUAGACUUGAAGGAAGCAUACCAAUACCAAUAAUAUUACACCUCUCAUCGGUAUUCAUCUCAUCAUACAUAAAGGUUGUGUUGGAUUACUCGAACAAUAACUUCUCUUCCAUAUUACCUGACUUUGGAAAAUAUGUAAAAAACGUCACGUACCUCAAUUUGUCCAACAAUAAAUUAAAUGGCCAUGUGUCAUCCUCCAUUUGUAGUGCCAGCAAAUUAAGUGUCAUGGACUUAUCAUACAACAAUUUUCGUGGUUUGAUCCCAUCGUGUCUGAUAGGAAGCGGAAAUCUGAAAAUAUUGAAACUGAGAGAAAAUCAAUUCCAAGGAAUGCUACCUAAAGAUAUUAGAGAAGGAUGUAAGUUUCAAACAAUAGAUUUGAAUGGAAACCAAAUUGAAGGUAAAAUACCAAGAUCACUAUCAAAUUGUCAAGACCUAGAGCUUCUUGAUGUUGGAAACAAUCAGAUUCUCGGUUCUUUCCCAUCUUGGUUGGGUGUUCUUCCACAGCUUCGAGUUCUAGUAUUAAGAUCCAACCAACUCAAUGGUUCAAUAUGGGAUAUUAAAGGUGACUGUACAAUCAACAAAUACUUCUCAAGUUUGCAAAUACUUGAUUUGGCCUCCAACAACUUCUCUGGAAACCUACCAAAAGGAUGGUUUCAUAAACUGAAAGCGAUGAUGGAAAAUGUCAGUGACGAGGGACAAGUUCUAGGACAUGAGACAGAUUCAAGAUCAGGAUUUUAUCAAGAUACUGUUACCAUCACUUUCAAAGGGCUUGAUCUUAGUUUCAUCAGAAUCCUAAGCACUUUCAACGCAAUAGAUUUCUCAAAUAACUCAUUUGAGGGUCAUGUUCCGGAGUCUAUUGGAAGACUUGUUUCCCUACGCUAA
This 2637-nucleotide ribosomal RNA is filed under the name Triticum aestivum (bread wheat). RNAcentral's name for it is "partial small subunit ribosomal RNA". The record is from RNAcentral. Lineage: Eukaryota; Viridiplantae; Streptophyta; Magnoliopsida; Poales; Poaceae.